Molecule: ribosomal RNA, 253 nt
Filed under: uncultured bacterium
Lineage: Bacteria
Description: partial 16S ribosomal RNA
Rfam family: Bacterial small subunit ribosomal RNA
Source: RNAcentral
UACAGAGGUCUCAAGCGUUGUUCGGAUUCAUUGGGCGUAAAGGGUGCGUAGGCGGCGCGGUAAGUCGGGGGUGAAAUCUCGGAGCUUAACUCCGAAACUGCAUUCGAUACUGCCGUGCUUGAGGACUGGAGAGGAGACUGGAAUUUACGGUGUAGCGGUGAAAUGCGUAGAUAUCGGAAGGAACAUCAGUGGCGAAAGCGACUUCCUGGACCAAUACUGACGCUCAUGUGCGAAAGCGUGGGGAGCAAACAGG